RNAcentral lists this transfer RNA (71 nucleotides) under Camelus ferus (Wild Bactrian camel). It matches the Rfam family "tRNA". Rfam says of the family: Transfer RNA (tRNA) molecules are approximately 80 nucleotides in length. Their secondary structure includes four short double-helical elements and three loops (D, anti-codon, and T loops). Lineage: Eukaryota; Metazoa; Chordata; Mammalia; Artiodactyla; Camelidae. The record is from Rfam by way of RNAcentral.
GAGGAUAGAGCUCAGUGGUAGAGCCCAUGCUUAGCAUGCACAAGGUCCUGGGUUCAAUUCUCAGUACCUCU